This 24-nucleotide non-coding RNA is filed under the name Arabidopsis thaliana (thale cress). Lineage: Eukaryota; Viridiplantae; Streptophyta; Magnoliopsida; Brassicales; Brassicaceae. The record is from RNAcentral.
UAUGUUCCGGCCGGCCUUCAAGAC